GCUGAUCUUAUGUAAACCCCUGUGAAAACGACCUGGAGAAUCUGGCUUACUUCCGUUACCACUUCCAUCAAGCUUGUAUUCAUUAUAGUGAGAGGAGCCGCCUGAUGUUGACUUAAGACUUCCCUUAGAACCAGCAUUUUCACUAUGAACUUCUCCGCCAAUAACCCUGUUCUUCCCCUUUCUUGGUUCCCAUACUUGUGCUACUUCACUCCCUGGUUGGUGUACCCAUAUACCAGUCUCCCGCUGCCCUUCAAUAUUAAUAGGUUCAUACUUAUCUCCAGUUUUUGAAGGUUCAUCAACUGAUUCAGUGGUUAAGGAGCUUUGUUCAGUUUUAUCCACCUCAGCAGAUUUGCUAUCCUGUUCAUUGACCAUACUUCCGCUAUCAUAUGACUGCUCCGCGCCCUUUUUGGCACAAUCAACAACAGUUAUGGCAAGAUGCAAUCUCCCAAUUUUGAUGUUCUGAAGAGACAGCCACAUAUCAUGCCUCUGGCCAUCCCUAAAAUCACAGAUAUUGAUGGAACAUUUUCCCAAUGUAUCAUCAUAUAAAUGGUCUUUGUCACGAACUUCGACAUUGAGCAUGUUGUUAGGAGACUCCCAUGUACAGACUGGAAUCUUGAACUCCUCACGCCACUGUGGAUUCAAUGUCUUCUUCUUAGUCUUAGUCCUGAAUCUGUAAAGGCCAAUGUGCCCCUUAACAUAUGGAUCAGCCAAUCCAUUUAAAUCUGAUGGCUUCAUGUCAGCUGCUUCAAGAACUUCUAAAAUCACAAAAGCAAUGGGCUCCUUAGCAUCAGCUGAAAACCAGUUUUCUGGUUGCGGCGACACAAACUUCUCAACAUCCACCACCAGCAUGUUGGGCUCGACAAGUGUCUGCUCAAAGGCAACAGCAAGAAGUUUAUCCAUCCAUCCAGCAAUUCCAGGAAGUUCUGUUACAUCAAGUCCAUGUGUGAAAAUUGGCUUCACAGUCAUCUGAAAAUAAGGAGGCUCCACAAAGCAAACCCGCAAACGACCGAGAAAUGGCCACUUCCUUAAGAACUUUACCCCAACCAAGACCUUUCCCUCAACAUGCAUGCCCAAUAGAUGCAACUUCGCCCACAUCCCAAAGCCCAACCUUUUUCUCAGUUUCACAGCAAGAAUUGCACUCAUGUCAUCGGCAGCACGGAAAUUCAUUCCUAACUCCAGGACCAAGUGAUCAUCUCCAGUAGAUUCGCG
RNAcentral lists this unclassified non-coding RNA (1209 nucleotides) under Hevea brasiliensis (rubber tree). The record is from RNAcentral. Lineage: Eukaryota; Viridiplantae; Streptophyta; Magnoliopsida; Malpighiales; Euphorbiaceae.